Homalodisca vitripennis (glassy-winged sharpshooter) is the source of this 937-nucleotide long non-coding RNA. RefSeq lists it as uncharacterized. The transcript has 4 exons. Lineage: Eukaryota; Metazoa; Arthropoda; Insecta; Hemiptera; Cicadellidae. The record is from RefSeq and is a predicted model, not a curated record.
UGUUAUGUUUAUAUAAAAUUUUCUAAUUAAUAACUUGUUUCUAACAUAUUAAUUUGUCAUUUCUAGAAAAUCAAGAAACAGUGUAUAAAAAUUUUGCAGUAAACAAUUUCGGAAACGUAAAUCAGUCAGAUUGCUCAAGGGUGAAACGCCGUUUAAUUUAACAAAGCAUCCAGGCGUCUUCAGUAUGAAAACCACUUAUAAAUUUUCGACAUGUUGUCGUAGUGGCUUGAUAUAACAUGGACUUAUAUGUGCAUUGCUGUCUCCCAGUGAGAGGUUACAACAGUUAGUGAAAGAUAACCCACACGUCAACUGAAAUCUGGAAUUCUCACUAAAUCUUCAAACCCGAGUGUCCGCAAGAAGAACCUGAAGUUCUCCUUGGACCUCUCCAAAUGUCCACAGGUAGCGGACACAGGUACUACCUUUACCAACACCCUGGAAGUCUUUAUGGAGAAACAAACUGAGGCAAUACAUUGAUGACGUCAAUGAAGACACAACGAGAAACGAUUUGCGGUCGAAUAUUUAUUUAGAUUCCAGCAGUGGAAAACGAAAUUGUGUGUGCUGAUAUCACAGGAGAUUUGAAAUCUUAACCAGUAAAUGCACGUAACCCUGUCAGCUCGUCAUCAGAGUCUCGGGAGUCAAGUCGUGGAUCACUAUUAAUUAGCCGCUAGUUUUCUCGCACUUAUGCCCAUUUACAGAAUCCUAUUGAUUGUAAUACAUCACUUACCGAUACUUGGGCUUUCAAGAAAAUACAACAAAUAUACGUGAUUGUUGUGUCGAGAUGGAACGGGCCUUAUAGACUAUAGCAGAUGUCACAAAUAACUAAUUCUUUUCUUGAGAUACAAAAGGCGUCUUAUUGUAAUAACAGUUUCUGCUGACUUGAAUUCUAUGUGGAUACAACAAAUAUAACAAACCUUAAAUUACUACUAUAUGAAUUUAA